This 492-nucleotide ribosomal RNA is filed under the name uncultured bacterium. RNAcentral describes it as "partial 16S ribosomal RNA". It matches the Rfam family "Bacterial small subunit ribosomal RNA", at positions 29 to 507 of the family's 1533-position model. The record is from RNAcentral.
AGUGAACGCUGGCGGUAGGCCUAACACAUGCAAGUCGAACGGCAGCACAGUAAGAGCUUGCUCUUACGGGUGGCGAGUGGCGGACGGGUGAGGAAUACAUCGGAAUCUACUUUUUCGUGGGGGAUAUCGUAGGGAAACUUACGCUAAUACCGCAUACGACCUACGGGUGAAAGCAGGGGAUCUUCGGACCUUGCGCGAUUGAAUGAGCCGAUGUCGGAUUAGCUAGUUGGCGGGGUAAAGGCCCACCAAGGCGACGAUCCGUAGCUGGUCUGAGAGGAUGAUCAGCCACACUGGAACUGAGACACGGUCCAGACUCCUACGGGAGGCAGCAGUGGGGAAUAUUGGACAAUGGGCGCAAGCCUGAUCCAGCCAUACCGCGUGGGUGAAGAAGGCCUUCGGGUUGUAAAGCCCUUUUGUUGGGAAAGAAAAGCAGCAGGUUAAUACCCCGCUGUUCUGACGGUACCCAAAGAGUAAGCACCGGCUAACUUCGUG